CGGAGGGGUACCACCAGACGUGGAGUCUGCGGCUCAAUUUGACUCAACGCGAACCCUUACCAGGCCCAGACGUACGGAGGAUCGACGGUUGAGAGGACCUUCGUGAUCGUACGAGUGGUGGUGCAUGGCCGUUCACAGCCCGUGGCUUGAGCCGUCUGCUUGACUGCGACAACGAGCGAGACCCUAACCUGGAUGGGACCGCCAAUGGUGAAUUGGAGGAAGGUGGGCGAUAACAGGUCUGUGAUGCCCUUAGACGCCCUGGGCUGCACGCGUACUACACUGUGGGGAUGAAACCACGUCGAGUUGUGAAGCUUGAUGAGAUCAAACCCCCACGUGGUUGGGAUCGUGGACUGGAACGUCCUCGUGAACCUGGAAUGUCUAGUAGGCGUAGGUCAUCAAUCUACGCGGAUACGUCCCUGCCCCUUGUACACACCGCCCGUCGCUCCUACCGACUGGGUCUUCUGGCGAGCUCCUGGGAGGGAUGAACCGAACAGGGACGAACCGCGAGGCUUGGAGGAAGGAGAAGUCGUAACAAGGUAUCCGUAGGUGAACCUGCGGAUGGAUCCAUC
RNAcentral lists this ribosomal RNA (569 nucleotides) under Giardia muris. Its description in RNAcentral is "Eukaryotic small subunit ribosomal RNA". It matches the Rfam family "Eukaryotic small subunit ribosomal RNA", at positions 1157 to 1831 of the family's 1831-position model. Lineage: Eukaryota; Fornicata; Diplomonadida; Hexamitidae. The record is from Rfam by way of RNAcentral.